CUAGCGACUUCAGAGUUUGAUCCUGGCUCAGGACGAACGCUGGCGGCGUGCCUAACACAUGCAAGUCGAACGGAAGUAAGAGCUUCGGUUUUUACUUUAGUGGCGAACGGGUGAGUAACGCGUGAGAAACCUGCCUCUCAGUGGGGGACAACAGUUGGAAACGACUGCUAAUACCGCAUAACAUAUUCGAAGGGCAUCCUUUGAAUAUCAAAGCUUUAUGUGCUGAGAGAUGGUCUCGCGUCUGAUUAGCUAGAUGGCGGGGUAACGGCCCACCAUGGCGACGAUCAGUAGCCGGUCUGAGAGGAUGAACGGCCACAUUGGGACUGAGAUACGGCCCAG
This 339-nucleotide ribosomal RNA is filed under the name uncultured bacterium. RNAcentral's name for it is "bacterial SSU rRNA". It matches the Rfam family "Bacterial small subunit ribosomal RNA", at positions 1 to 334 of the family's 1533-position model. The record is from RNAcentral.